GUAGAAUCAGCCACAAUCCACACUGAAAUCUUGUCUUCAGAGCAGCCACUUAGAGCUGUUUUUUAAAAGACCACAGAAGGGCUGAGCUGUCCUUUUACAGUUGCCUUGCAUAUUCCCUGUGGACCUAUACUGGAUUUGGGCCUUGUGAGGAUUUAAGCAGAGGAGCAUUUGUUCCUAGAUCCUGCUCAGAUUAACGUAUAAGCUGCUUUGACUGGAGCGAUUACAUACACGGCAGAGCAAAGCUGUGGAUACCUCUCAAACAGGAAGCAGCAAGAUGUGAUGCCUGAACAAGCAAAGUAACUCCUCCAAACUUGCAGAUACUGCCAGCGUUGAGCCAUGUUUCACAACCAGGUCACCACGCUCAGCCUCCUCAGGCACCUGAUCGUAAACAGCCCAGAUUGGAGAACUGCGGAAGAAAACAGCCCUGUCUACAACUGACCUGAGAUCAUGCACAAGACUCCUCCUCUGAGGACAGUAAUUAGGCAGCUAAUCAAUUCUAGGAGAUGUACAUACAUCGUGUUGGCAGAAGUUCAGGGCAUGAGCUUCCAUACCAAUAUUUGGUUACUCAACGUUUCUGUGUGUUUUAGAAGGUUCAUUCCACCAAGAAUGAUCUGAAGCUCAGGAAAUGUAACACACUGGAUCACAAUGUAACACAAUGGAUCCUAGCAAUGGACCAAUAUAUUUUUGAGGAGACAGCACAAGAAAACAUCGUCCAGGAUUUGAAGACUAGCAAAGCCACGAUUAAAGCUCAUUCAAAGGAGCAAUUACUAUUACUUUCAGCAGUCAGUGGUCUUCUAUCCAUUCUGUGCCUUAAAGGAGAUUUGGGGGAAGGAAUCAAAAGAUGGGGGAAGUUAUUUAUAGCCCUGUACUUGUCUUUAUUCCUUCUAAGUUAAGCACAGAUCAAGAUUUGCUAUCCCAUUGCAACCCUGCCUUCUUAGAAAUAAAUUCAUACAUUCCAGGUAAGAGGCACCUGGAAUCAUCUACUACCAAUUUUGAACACUGAUAACACGAACGUUUUGUUUUAGAGAUAAACAAAAUGAAAUAAUGCAAAAAUUAUUCCGGAGCUUUAAAGCUGUUAGAUUAUGAUUUCCUUGAAAUAAUUAGUGCAAAAUUAAUACCAACAGUGUUAUACUGUACCAGACACUUUAAUAUUCAUAGUUAUUUAGACAUAAUGCACUCCUGUCACAAAAGCCUAGAAAAAUAUUCAGAUAAUUAAGGGCGAUCUGUAUUCCUCUGCAAAAAUACAUCAUCUUUCAACAAAGGCUAAAGCCCUCCAGAUAUUAAAAUGCAUAACAUUUGCUGCCUUUACUCAUUAUAAUUACAUUUUAUUAAUGCAUAAAUCUAUUCAGAUUAUCCAUUAAUAUCA
Molecule: long non-coding RNA, 1366 nt
Organism: Centrocercus urophasianus (Greater sage-grouse)
Lineage: Eukaryota; Metazoa; Chordata; Aves; Galliformes; Phasianidae
Exons: 3
Source: RefSeq, a predicted model, not a curated record